UCCGGAGGGUGCAAUCGUUGUUCGGAAUUACUGGGCGUAAAGCGCGUGUAGGCGGUUCGGUAAGUCGGUUGUGAAAGCCCCGAGCUCAACUCGGGAAUUGCGUCCGAAACUGCCGGACUGGAGUCCCGGAGAGGAAGGCAGAAUUCCCAAUGUAGGGGUGAAAUCCGUAGAUAUUGGGAGGAAUACCGGCUGCGAAGGCGGCCUUCUGGACGGUGACUGACGCUGAGACGCGAAAGCGUGGGGAGCAAACAGG
RNAcentral lists this ribosomal RNA (253 nucleotides) under uncultured bacterium. Its description in RNAcentral is "partial 16S ribosomal RNA". It matches the Rfam family "Bacterial small subunit ribosomal RNA", at positions 524 to 776 of the family's 1533-position model. The record is from RNAcentral.